CUAGCGCUAAAAUAUCUCCUUUCUCUUGCACUUCCACUGUCGCCGGAGGAAAACACCAAGGAUUGAGCUAGAUUUUGGGGUCAUCGGAGCUUGACUCAACUCGAUUAAGAUAUGGUUCAUCUUCAAAGUGAUAAUAAAUACCAUGGAGUAACCGACUCAAGAGAAGCCGAUUUAGAAGCAAGUGAGGCGUGACCCAAAUCUGAUGCAUUCAAGUCAAAGUUAUCUAAAAGAAUCGGUUCAAACCUUGUAUUCUUCUAUGAGAAGAACAAGGUGUAAUCUCCUGGCUCUCCUUAGCAUGCUGCAUUAUCUGAUUAGCACCUUCAGAUAAUUGUAAGUUCCCCUUCAUUGCAUUACCAUCUAUAUUUGAAUCUGAAUUGCAUCCUUCCUUGGAUUCCUUUUCAAAUUCAGUUCCUUCUUUUUCAUUCACUCUAUCUCCCCAUUUUUUAGGAUUGUUAUUGUCUUGUCCUUUUUUCUCUUAUGUUUGUUGUUUCUCUUGUAUUGUAGUCUCCUCCUUAUUGUUAAGAACUUUACCAAAUGAUUUUUCCACCCAUGGUUUUGUAGAUUCCUGAUUAUCUUUGUGUUGUGUUUCCUCUGCCUGAUGAUGUGAUCAAGCAUCUGGUACUUUACUCACAUCAUGUUCAGUGCUUCAGUUUCAUGUUGCUUCUCCUCAUUACUGCCUUCUUCUUCUUCUUUUGACACGGCAUCAAACUUGUUUUGAGCGACAAUAUGUGAACCUGCAUCAUUACCCUUUUGAACAACUGCUUCACCUUUUCUUCAAUUUUCAUCCACAGACUUCUUAGCAUUCCAUUGUGCCAAAUCACCAACAACUUUUCCACUAGAUAGCAUUCUAGGUGUGAAAUUUUCCUCUUCUCUGCUUCACCCUUUCUUCAC
Lycium barbarum (goji berry) is the source of this 891-nucleotide long non-coding RNA. RefSeq lists it as uncharacterized. The record is from RefSeq and is a predicted model, not a curated record. The transcript is spliced from 3 exons. Lineage: Eukaryota; Viridiplantae; Streptophyta; Magnoliopsida; Solanales; Solanaceae.